Oreochromis niloticus (Nile tilapia) is the source of this 800-nucleotide long non-coding RNA. RefSeq lists it as uncharacterized. Lineage: Eukaryota; Metazoa; Chordata; Actinopteri; Cichliformes; Cichlidae. The transcript is spliced from 2 exons. The record is from RefSeq and is a predicted model, not a curated record.
GCACCGGGCUGACCUGCCGAGCACACACAGAGUUCAGCACAGACGCCUCCAUCAUUAGAGGCAUCUGAUGACCUCGUCUGGAGUGGACGAGGAGAUUGACGGUGACCUUAAUAAGAAAAGAUGUAAUCACAACUGGAAGAAGCCGGAGCAGCUGGAGGUCGAGGGAUGAUGUGCCGACGUGAUGAGAAAACAAAAAUAAAUAAAAUCAUUGACUUAAUUAAAUUCAGUUUGGUUUUUUAGAUACGUCAUCUUAUUUUGACUUUGUUACUAUGUUCAAUUAGCAUUUUAAUGGCUGAAUUGUUUUAUUUUAAUGUGCGCUGAAGUCAGAAUGGACUUUAUUGCAUUUUUUUUUUUUAAAUGUUCUUUUAUAAUGUUUACAGAACAUCACGGGGGGGUUGGGACUGUUUUGAAAUGUGCAGAGCUCAGCCUGUUGGUUGAUUAUCUAACCCUUCCUGUUUUUCCGUCAGGCACAGAUGAAGACAAAGUGUUGACACACGCUGGUUUGUUUGGCUUGCCGAGUUGCUCCAAUGCUGUUCUUUCCACAUUUUUAAUUAACUUUUAUCAAAUUUUUGCAUAUUAUCCAUCGACUUCCAUGCAUCUAAUUUACCUCCAUAUUUACACUUGCCUCAUCAGUCUAUCACUUCUUUCAUAUAAAGUCCCUUCGCUCCCAUUCUUCCCAUUUACUUCCAUAUUUUCCAGUUGGUACAUAGCAUUACUUAGUUUAUCUGAUACUUCAACUUUUUUUUUCUUCACAUUGUAAAACCACAUUUGCAUUUCAUCCCUUCGUUUCCAUCCAUCAA